RNAcentral lists this non-coding RNA (120 nucleotides) under bovine gut metagenome. Its description in RNAcentral is "FMN riboswitch (RFN element)". It matches the Rfam family "FMN riboswitch aptamer (RFN element)". Rfam says of the family: The RFN element is a highly conserved domain that is found frequently in the 5'-untranslated regions of prokaryotic mRNAs that encode for flavin mononucleotide (FMN) biosynthesis and transport proteins. This element is a metabolite-dependent riboswitch that directly binds FMN in the absence of proteins. In Bacillus subtilis, the riboswitch most likely controls gene expression by causing premature transcription termination within the 5' untranslated region of the ribDEAHT operon and precluding access to the ribosome-binding site of ypaA mRNA. The record is from RNAcentral. RNAcentral also lists the same sequence under 1 other name.
UAUCUUCGGGGCGGGGUGAAAUUCCCCACCGGCGGUAUUUGGCAUCAGCCAUAAGCCCGCGAACUUUUGUUGAUUCGGUGAGAUUCCGAAGCCGACGGUACAGUCCGGAUGGAAGAAGAU